CCGAUAUAAAUGAAGAUAAAAUUGACAUUCUUUUUGAAGUGUCUCCAGGCUUAAGCUAUAACUUUCCUUGUCUGCGUUCCAGACUCAGUUGUGAGAAGGCUGUUUAUACUGCUCUUUGAAAAAUCAACUAAGGUGCACCAGCUGAAAUAUCCUUGCUUUGCCUGCCAAUAUGAAAGUUAUUUUUAGAAUGAUGACUAUGCUAGUUUGCACCGCUCUAAUCUAGGCUGAAAAUUGGAGGAUCUAGUUGUGUCUGGUACUCACAAAAGGAAAAGUACACACUACGAAUAAGGCAUCAGUAUUUACUUCAAAGAUCAACAUUAGGUGGAAUUAAUAAGUAAUUUAUUUGUUAAUAAUGGCAUAAUUAGUUUACCCAUCAAAUUUCAAUUACCAAAUGGCAGGCAACAGUCCCUUUCCCUCCUUUCCGGAGCUACUGAUAUCGUUAAUAUGCUAAUUUUCAGCAAUUCAGAAAUUAUAGAUUGUUCUGUAACUAUAACUCUAGUCUCAGCUACAGCCUGAAAAAGCAGCAUCCAAAAGAGAAAUUCUUAGCUGGAAAAGACCCCUGGGGAUCAGAUCUGGCAAAGGUCUUAUUCUAUUUUAAGCUUGCUUUUAUUUGGGGAUUGUUCUGAAAUAGGAAGUUAUUUGUUUCAAAGCUCGGUUUUAUGGAAGUGUUGCUUCUAUCCAUUCUUAUCCUUGAGCCGUCGUCUGACUGCACAAUCGCACUUCGUCAACUCACGCGUGUUUAGUUCUUAGAUUGACCCCUCCAUCAAAUAAGAUGGUAUUAGAAAGGUGGGUUUUGUUUUGUUUUUAAUAAGGUAAAAACAAAACAGACUGUCUUAAAAGGAAAAAGUAAAAAAUGUCUGUCCGAUUACACUGGAAUGGCUUCGCUGUACACCCCUGUGUAGAUUUCUCAGCUACACACCCAACCUUUGCAGCUCCUGCCAGUCUUCUCAAUAUAGGGACGAGUCAGCAGGGUGUAGGAAAGGAAUAAGCGGGUGGGAAAAUUUGUCGGUCGGCCACGUUCAUUUUAUUCCAGUGCCAUGAUAAAAAACAGGAUGCCCCUUGGUGUCGACGCCUUUUCCCUCCCGCAGCGGGCCUCGAACCUUGGAGGACGCGGGGCCUGACUGGGCUGGAAAUCAGCGCUGAGUCUGCCCUGGGGCGUAGGCUAGAAGU
Molecule: long non-coding RNA, 1170 nt
Filed under: Marmota monax (woodchuck)
Lineage: Eukaryota; Metazoa; Chordata; Mammalia; Rodentia; Sciuridae
Source: RNAcentral